CAUCUGUCGACCGAGAGGAGGGAGAGGAGGGUUUUCUGCACUUCUCCACUCCAAGGAAGAUGAGCACAGUCGCAGGUUUCUGAAGGAGGUCUUUGACUGCCUCAUAUCUGAACCGACACAGCUUGGUCUCAACCUGAAAUGAGGUUGGCUGAAAACUCAACACAUGGAUUGAUGAUGCUGUGAAGGGAUUUAGAGAAUCACAUCACUGAAACCAAAAGAAAGCUCUCUGUACCCAUGAGACAGCAGCUCCUCCACCACUUGGUAGUGUCCGUUACGAGCGGCGAGCAUCAGCGCCGUCCAGCCGCUGUAUCCCGUCUGGUUGAUGAGCGAGGGGGCGUGGGACAGCAGCUGGGAC
Epinephelus fuscoguttatus (brown-marbled grouper) is the source of this 355-nucleotide long non-coding RNA. RefSeq lists it as uncharacterized. The transcript is spliced from 3 exons. Lineage: Eukaryota; Metazoa; Chordata; Actinopteri; Perciformes; Serranidae. The record is from RefSeq and is a predicted model, not a curated record.